UACGUAGGGUGCGAGCGUUAAUCGGAAUUACUGGGCGUAAAGCGUGCGCAGGCGGUUUUGUAAGCCCGAUGUGAAUGCCCCGGGCUUAACCUGGGAAUGGCAUUUGGGACUGCAAGGCUUGAGUGCGGCAGAGGAGACUGGAAUUCCCGGUGUAGCAGUGAAAUGCGUAGAUAUCGGGAGGAAUACCGAUGGCGAAGGCGAGUCCCUGGACAUCUCCUGACACUGAGGCACGAAAGCUAGGGGAGCAAACAGG
This 253-nucleotide ribosomal RNA is filed under the name uncultured bacterium. RNAcentral describes it as "partial 16S ribosomal RNA". It matches the Rfam family "Bacterial small subunit ribosomal RNA", at positions 524 to 776 of the family's 1533-position model. The record is from RNAcentral.